UGGUUCUGGCAUNGAUGAAGAACGCAGCGAAAUGCGAUAAGUAGUGUGAAUUGCAGAAUUCAGUGAAUCAUCGAAUCUUUGAACGCACAUUGCGCCCUGUGGUAUUCCGCAGGGCAUGCCUGUUCGAGCGUCAUUUACACUCUCAAGCUGUGCUUGGUGUUGGGCGUCUGUCGCGCGCGGCGCGACUCGCCUCGAAGUCAUUGGCAGGGUCAGUCGGCUUUCCACGCAGCACACGCGGCGGAACAGCAGACGCGGCCGGCCUCCGUCAGGCUCUUCGACUUUGACCUCGGAUCAGGUAGGGAUACCCGCUGA
Molecule: unclassified non-coding RNA, 312 nt
Filed under: uncultured fungus
Lineage: Eukaryota; Fungi
Description: partial contains 5.8S ribosomal RNA and internal transcribed spacer 2
Rfam family: 5.8S ribosomal RNA (bases 1-133)
Source: RNAcentral